CGNNGAAGGGGAGCUUGCUUCCUGGAUCAGUGGCGAACGGGUGAGUAACACGUGAGCAACCUGCCCCGGACUCUGGGAUAACAGUUGGAAACAGCUGCUAAUACCGGAUAUGCACCAUGGAGGCAUCUUCAAUGGUGGGAAAGAAUUUCGGUCUGGGAUGGGCUCGCGGCCUAUCAGCUUGUUGGUGAGGUAAUGGCUCACCAAGGCGUCGACGGGUAGCCGGCCUGAGAGGGUGACCGGCCACACUGGGACUGAGACACGGCCCAGACUCCUACGGGAGGCAGCAGUGGGGAAUAUUGCACAAUGGGCGAAAGCCUGAUGCAGCAACGCCGCGUGAGGGAUGACGGCCUUCGGGUUGUAAACCUCUUUUAGCAGGGAAGAAGCGAAAGUGACGGUACCUGCAGAAAAAGCGCCGGCUAACUACGUGCCAGCAGCCGCGGUAAUACGUAGGGCGCAAGCGUUAUCCGGAAUUAUUGGGCGUAAAGAGCUCGUAGGCGGUUUGUCGCGUCUGCUGUGAAAACCCGAGGCUCAACCUCGGGCCUGCAGUGGGUACGGGCAGACUAGAGUGCGGUAGGGGAGAUUGGAAUUCCUGGUGUAGCGGUGGAAUGCGCAGAUAUCAGGAGGAACACCGAUGGCGAAGGCAGAUCUCUGGGCCGUAACUGACGCUGAGGAGCGAAAGGGUGGGGAGCAAACAGGCUUAGAUACCCUGGUAGUCCACCCCGUAAACGUUGGGAACUAGUUGUGGGGACCUUUCCACGGUCUCCGUGACGCAGCUAACGCAUUAAGUUCCCCGCCUGGGGAGUACGGCCGCAAGGCUAAAACUCAGAGGAAUUGACGGGGACCCGCACAAGCGGCGGAGCAUGCGGAUUAAUUCGAUGCAACGCGAAGAACCUUACCAAGGCUUGACAUAUAGAGGAAACGGCUGGAAACAGUCGCCCCGCAAGGUCUCUAUACAGGUGGUGCAUGGUUGUCGUCAGCUCGUGUCGUGAGAUGUUGGGUUAAGUCCCGCAACGAGCGCAACCCUCGUUCUAUGUUGCCAGCACGUAAUGGUGGGAACUCAUGGGAUACUGCCGGGGUCAACUCGGAGGAAGGUGGGGAUGACGUCAAAUCAUCAUGCCCCUUAUGUCUGGGCUUCMGCAUGCUACAUGGCCGGUACAAGGGCUGCAWWCC
This 1170-nucleotide ribosomal RNA is filed under the name Microbacterium sp. RNAcentral's name for it is "bacterial SSU rRNA". Lineage: Bacteria; Bacillati; Actinomycetota; Actinomycetes; Micrococcales; Microbacteriaceae. The record is from RNAcentral.